This is a small nuclear RNA of Gorilla gorilla gorilla (western lowland gorilla), 104 nucleotides long. The record is from Ensembl. NCBI's taxonomy places the organism in Eukaryota, Metazoa, Chordata, Mammalia, Primates, Hominidae.
GUGCUUGCUUUGGCAGCACAUAUACUAAAAUUGGAACAAUACAGAGAUUGGCAUGGCCCUUUUGCAAGGGUGAUACCCAAAUUUGUGAAGUGUUCCGUAUAUUG